GGAGGGAUCAUUACCGAGUUUACAACUCCCAAACCCCUGUGAACAUACCUCUUCGUUGCUUCGGCGGUCCCUCGCGGCCGCCGGAGGACCCAAACCUCUUGUCUGUUAGUGUCUCCUAUGAGCUGCACAGCGUAAAUACAAUCAAAACUUUCAACAACGGAUCUCUUGGUUCUGGCAUCGAUGAAGAACGCAGCGAAAUGCGAUAAGUAAUGUGAAUUGCAGAAUUCAGUGAAUCAUCGAAUCUUUGAACGCACAUUGCGCCCGCCAGUACUCUGGCGGGCAUGCCUGUUCGAGCGUCAUUUCAACCCUCGAGCCCCCGGGCUCGGUGUUGGGGACCGGCCGCCCCCCGCGGUGGCCGCCCCCGAAAUCCAGUGGCGGUCUCGCCGCAGCCUCCUCUGCGCAGUAGUUAACACCCUCGCACUGGAACGCGGCGCGGCCCUGCCGUGAAACCCCCAACCCUCCUCAGGUUGACCUCGAAUCAGGUAGGAAUACCCGCUGAACUUAAGCAUAUCAAUAAGCGGAGGAAAAGAAACCAACAGGGAUUGCCCCAGUAACGGCGAGUGAAGCGGCAACAGCUCAAAUUUGAAAUCUGGCCUCGGCCCGAGUUGUAAUUUGCAGAGGAUGCUUCUGGCGCGGUGCCUUCCGAGUUCCCUGGAACGGGACGCCACAGAGGGUGAGAGCCCCGUAUGGUCGGACACCAAGCCUGUGUGAAGCUCCUUCGACGAGUCGAGUAGUUUGGGAAUGCUGCUCUAAAUGGGAGGUAUAUGUCUUCUAAAGCUAAAUACCGGCCAGAGACCGAUAGCGCACAAGUAGAGUGAUCGAAAGAUGAAAAGCACUUUGAAAAGAGAGUUAAAAAGUACGUGAAAUUGUUGAAAGGGAA
RNAcentral lists this unclassified non-coding RNA (880 nucleotides) under uncultured Hypocreales. RNAcentral describes it as "sequence contains 18S rRNA gene, ITS1, 5.8S rRNA gene, ITS2, 28S rRNA gene". The stretch from base 469 to 880 matches the Rfam family "Eukaryotic large subunit ribosomal RNA", at positions 1 to 418 of the family's 3401-position model. The record is from RNAcentral. Lineage: Eukaryota; Fungi; Ascomycota; Sordariomycetes; Hypocreales.